RNAcentral lists this ribosomal RNA (460 nucleotides) under uncultured bacterium. RNAcentral describes it as "partial 16S ribosomal RNA". It matches the Rfam family "Bacterial small subunit ribosomal RNA", at positions 338 to 795 of the family's 1533-position model. The record is from RNAcentral.
CCUACGGGUGGCAGCAGUGAGGAAUAUUGGUCAAUGGGCGGAAGCCUGAACCAGCCAAGUAGCGUGCAGGAUGACGGCCCUACGGGUUGUAAACUGCUUUUAUACGGGAAUAACGCGCCUUACGUGUAGGGCUUUGCAUGUACCGUAUGAAUAAGGACCGGCUAAUUCCGUGCCAGCAGCCGCGGUAAUACGGAGGGUCCGGGCGUUAUCCGGAUUUAUUGGGUUUAAAGGGAGCGUAGACCGGAUGUCAAGCGUGCUGUGAAAUGUCCGGGCUCAACCCGGGCCUUGCAGGGGGAACUGGAGUGCUUGAGUGCGCGGGAGGCAGGCGGAAGUCGUAGUGUAGCGGUGAAAUGCUUAGAUAUGACGAAGAACCCCGAUUGCGAAGGCAGCUUGCUGCAGCGGAACUGACGCUGAUGCUCGAAAGCGCGGGUAGCGAACAGGAUUAGAUACCCUGGUAGUC